CUUCUCUGAAAACACAAACAGAAAACAGAAGGUUCAACAAUGAAGAUGGUGAAGCGUUCUUAUCUAUAAGUAGAAGAAUUUUAGCGUCGCCCAACCUGUUUGAGGUGUUCACUGAGUGCGAUACGAAGGCUGCCGUUGCGGUGGUUUAGCAUCUCGCAGGUCAUCAGAGUGUAGAAGAUGGCGGUGCAGGUAAGUGGGACACAAAAGUAAAAACCAAACAGCCACCAGUCCUUUGCAUCUCUGUAGAACUAGAGGGAGAAUACACAUGUAUGGUCUCUGUAUUUCAAGGUUUAUAAAUGUUUAUUCUCCUAGGAAAUCCAAAGUAUUCUUUUCUGAACUCAACAUUCUUCAUGAGUCAUUUAUGAUUUAUAUCUGAAACUGUAUUUACAUGUCCCUAAAAGUCAGAACUGAAAGCUAUUCAAGGUGACAGCAGAAGUCUCAUGUUUGUAAUGAAACCUCCACAAACACCAUCUGGCUGCUGUUGUCUUGGUGUGCCAGUGAAGUUUAUGGGAAAUCUGCUCAUAAGUAGAAAAUCAAGCUGGUUCCAAUUAUGCAGCGUAAAAUAAAAGCUUGUGGUUGUAAAAAAAAACAAAAAACGUAAGAAAAAUAUGCUAUUCCAAAACCCAGAUAUCCUGGUGAGGAAUUUUUCACACGAUCUGCCCUCUACUUUACAGAGCCACUUAUAAAUCCAUCAUUUGGCCUGAAAUUUUCCAUCCCAUAAAUCCUGUAGGGGAAUAAACACCAAAACAAAGUUAAAAUGUUGAAUCAAACUGGAAAACCGGGGAGCAGGAUUCUUAAAGGGGAGGACUGCAUCGAUGUCCUGCAGAGGUUAUAUCAGGUUUGUCUGUGUGGACGAGCACAUGUGGCUACUUGAGGGCCAAAGGUCGUAAUUGGACUUGGCCUGCAAUCAAUUAUCUGCAUCAGGCAUGCGGAGAGGCCACAGCUCCGAGGAGGGAGAGCAGGAAAGAAAAACCUCUGCAUUCAAACCUGAGGAGAGGCUUUAGUCCAAAAAAAUGGACUAAGGUGGCAAAAUGUCUGAUGAAGUUUUGGCCAGUUGAAGUUCUGCUUUAUACCUGAUGAACUGCAACUGGACUGAAAACUGGACGGAGGGAAGAAAUGGGAGAAUUUACCACCAUGAAGCUGUUGGUCGGGUUGAGCAUGCAGGUGCGCAUGGUGUUGUUACUGUAGUUGAAGGAGACCAUGUCGAAGCAGACAGCCUCAGGCACUGCCAGGAUCAGAGACAGCACCCAGAUGGACACGAUCUCGAUGACGGUGAGCAAAGGGAUGCCCACCCCCUGCACUCGGCUCCAGGAAGCCACAGCUCGGUACCUGUGAGGCAAACGGAUCCACAGAUACCAUCAUGGAUUCAUCAUUAAACAGCAGUGACAAAGAGACUCUCUGCCUGCCAGCGUCCCAAACACCACAAACUGCUCAGUCAGCAGACGAUCAGCAGAAUGGGAAGAAUUCAUGAGGAGAGAUGAUCAAUUGUUUAUUUUCAAUAUCAAAUAUUUAUAUUUUCGUGAAGCCGCCAAACUGGCUGGCCCAUGUUGGCAGAUCUCUGCAUGUUGGCUUCUGUUUGCUGCGCACUAAAUAAAUAGUUUGCUUGUUUGUUUCAUUAAUGGAAAACAACUUGUCGAAAUGUUUUAGUAAAACCGAGCAUCAAGAUUUUAUGGCAAAACAAUAUAUUUUUCAUGAUACAUUUGAAUUUCCCUGUUGAACAACAUGGCGGCAUCUAUAUUUUACCAAGAGGUCUUGUAUCCACCUUUCCCUAUUGUUGUAGCAGUAAAAUGAUGCAGAGGGACUGAAAUAGCUCCUAAUAUGUAUUCAAACAAAUUUGCUUCAUAUUUCCAGGAACAAAGAGAGAAGAUGUGCUUCUGAAGCAACCAAACAGCUUAUUGGUCUUUCUCAUAAUGGAGGUCAUUAAACCCAUCUGGCUUGUUGAACCUUGGAGUCUUUUUAAAGAUGGUGGUGCAUUAAGUGACAUGACGAUGAACUUCACCUCUUCUGGGCCAUCAUUUAUUCAUUGCAAUGUUCUUUUAAGGCACCAUUUAACUCAUUAGCAUCCUAGCUAACCGUUCCAGUGACUAUACACAUGAACAAACUACACAAUGGCCUCCAUAACCCUUAGCCCUGUUUGUAUAGAUGUCUGAAAAAUGUUUUAUCACAUUUAAAGCAGUGAGAUCGGACCUGUA
Cyprinodon tularosa is the source of this 2192-nucleotide long non-coding RNA. RefSeq lists it as uncharacterized. The transcript has 3 exons. The record is from RefSeq and is a predicted model, not a curated record. NCBI's taxonomy places the organism in Eukaryota, Metazoa, Chordata, Actinopteri, Cyprinodontiformes, Cyprinodontidae.